RNAcentral lists this long non-coding RNA (336 nucleotides) under Phoenix dactylifera (date palm). RNAcentral's name for it is "long non-coding RNA (PDAC_LNC009180)". The record is from RNAcentral. Lineage: Eukaryota; Viridiplantae; Streptophyta; Magnoliopsida; Arecales; Arecaceae.
UAUUGGGCUCCACCUAAAUGCUCUGCCGUAUAGGAGGCAAUCCAAUCUGCACUAUUCGCCUCCUGAUACAUAUGAGUGGCCCAAAAGAAGGUGCAACUUCCUACCAUACUCCAAAUGUCUCGUAAUAAUAGGGUACAUCUGCCAUCAAUGCCUAUCUCAUGAUCCACACAAUUAUCCUCGUAGUGUCACCCUUGAGUAAGAUGCAAUCUGCCCUAAGGGUGAGACUCACAAAGCUGGUUCCCUCCUAGGCCACUCUUAGCUCAACUCUAGGAACUGAAAUAUCAAAAAUCUAACUGCCACGACAUCAAUAAAUCUAGAAUUUGAGCCUAUGAUCAU